AAGACCUUGCACUUUUGGAGCGGCCGAUGUCUGAUUAGCUAGUUGGUGGGGUAAUGGCCUACCAAAGCUUCGAUCAGUAGCUGGUCUGAGAGGACGGCCAGCCACACUGGGACUGAGACACGGCCCAGACUCCUACGGGAGGCAGCAGUGGGGAAUUUUGGACAAUGGGCGCAAGCCUGAUCCAGCCAUGCCGCGUGAGUGAAGAAGGCCUUCGGGUUGUAAAGCUCUUUCAGCCGGGAAGAAAAGGUUGCGACUAAUAAUCGCAAUUCAUGACGGUACCGAAAGAAGAAGCACCGGCUAACUACGUGCCAGCAGCCGCGGUAAUACGUAGGGUGCGAGCGUUAAUCGGAAUUACCGGGCGUAAAGGGUGCGCAGGCGGUUUUGUAAGUCAGAUGUGAAAUCCCCGGGCUUAACCUGGGAACU
Molecule: ribosomal RNA, 423 nt
Filed under: uncultured bacterium
Lineage: Bacteria
Description: bacterial SSU rRNA
Rfam family: Bacterial small subunit ribosomal RNA
Source: RNAcentral